GAACUGCGAUAAGUAGUGUGAAUUGCAGAAUUCAGUGAAUCAUCAAACCCUUGAACGCAAAUGGCACCCUGUGGCAACGCAGGGCACGGCUGUUUGAGCCUCGGUAUUCAACCUCGUACCCAAACACCAUGUGUGUUAGGGUUGCGGAUCGUGGGGAUUGUGACAGCACAUUCCCUGAAAUGCAGCUGCCUGCAGCAGUGGGAUCAGGACCAAAAGCCGAUCCAAACAACCAGUUCAUGAUGGCACACGCCUCUCUUAGCUGGCUUGGAUUGUCCUGCGGCCCCCCUUGCGACAACCAUGGCAUGAUGUGUAGUUCCCCUUUACCGGGGCAAUGCACCCAUUUCAAACUUCGAGCUCAAAUCAGGCGAGAUUACCCGCUGAAUUUAA
Molecule: unclassified non-coding RNA, 387 nt
Filed under: uncultured fungus
Lineage: Eukaryota; Fungi
Description: sequence contains ITS1
Rfam family: 5.8S ribosomal RNA (bases 1-103)
Source: RNAcentral